GACGAACGCUGGCGGCGUGCUUAACACAUGCAAGUCGAACGGAAAGGCCUGCUUUCCCUUGUGGAUUGCGGGUACUCGAGUGGCGAACGGGUGAGUAACACGUGAUUGAUCUGCCCCCAACUUUGGGAUAAGCCUGGGAAACUGGGUCUAAUUCCCGAUAUGACGGCAUGGUUGGGCCUGUUUUUGGAAACAAGUUGCUAGUGGUGGGGGUUGGGCUGGCGGUCUGGCAGCUUGUUGGUGGGGUAAUGGCCUGCCGAGGGGGCGACGGGGAGCCGGGAUGAGAGGGUGGACGGCGACAUUGGGACUGCGAUACGGGACAGACUUAUGCGGGAGGCAGCAGUGGGGGAUAUCGGAGGAUGAGAGGGAGCAUGAUGCAGAGACGCGGUGUGGGGGAUGCCGGUGGUCGGGGUGUAACCUCCUUUCGUAAGCGAGGAACGCACCUGGUUGGACGGGUGGUGACGGUAGUGGUAGAAGAAGCACCGGCUAACUACGUG
RNAcentral lists this ribosomal RNA (494 nucleotides) under uncultured bacterium. RNAcentral's name for it is "partial 16S ribosomal RNA". It matches the Rfam family "Bacterial small subunit ribosomal RNA", at positions 28 to 507 of the family's 1533-position model. The record is from RNAcentral.